AAAUUGAAGAGUUUGAUCAUGGCUCAGAUUGAACGCUGGCGGCAGGCCUAACACAUGCAAGUCGAGCGGUAGCACAGAGAGCUUGCUCUCGGGUGACGAGCGGCGGACGGGUGAGUAAUGUCUGGGAAACUGCCUGAUGGAGGGGGAUAACUACUGGAAACGGUAGCUAAUACCGCAUAAUGUCGCAAGACCAAAGUGGGGGACCUUCGGGCCUCAUGCCAUCAGAUGUGCCCAGAUGGGAUUAGCUAGUAGGUGGGGUAAUGGCUCACCUAGGCGACGAUCCCUAGCUGGUCUGAGAGGAUGACCAGCCACACUGGAACUGAGACACGGUCCAGACUCCUACGGGAGGCAGCAGUGGGGAAUAUUGCACAAUGGGCGCAAGCCUGAUGCAGCCAUGCCGCGUGUGUGAAGAAGGCCUUCGGGUUGUAAAGCACUUUCAGCGGGGAGGAAGGCGAUAAGGUUAAUAACCUUGGCGAUUGACGUUACCCGCAGAAGAAGCACCGGCUAACUCCGUGCCAGCAGCCGCGGUAAUACGGAGGGUGCAAGCGUUAAUCGGAAUUACUGGGCGUAAAGCGCACGCAGGCGGUCUGUCAAGUCGGAUGUGAAAUCCCCGGGCUCAACCUGGGAACUGCAUUCGAAACUGGCAGGCUAGAGUCUUGUAGAGGGGGGUAGAAUUCCAGGUGUAGCGGUGAAAUGCGUAGAGAUCUGGAGGAAUACCGGUGGCGAAGGCGGCCCCCUGGACAAAGACUGACGCUCAGGUGCGAAAGCGUGGGGAGCAAACAGGAUUAGAUACCCUGGUAGUCCACGCCGUAAACGAUGUCGAUUUGGAGGUUGUGCCCUUGAGGCGUGGCUUCCGGAGCUAACGCGUUAAAUCGACCGCCUGGGGAGUACGGCCGCAAGGUUAAAACUCAAAUGAAUUGACGGGGGCCCGCACAAGCGGUGGAGCAUGUGGUUUAAUUCGAUGCAACGCGAAGAACCUUACCUGGUCUUGACAUCCACAGAACUUAGCAGAGAUGCUUUGGUGCCUUCGGGAACUGUGAGACAGGUGCUGCAUGGCUGUCGUCAGCUCGUGUUGUGAAAUGUUGGGUUAAGUCCCGCAACGAGCGCAACCCUUAUCCUUUGUUGCCAGCGGUUAGGCCGGGAACUCAAAGGAGACUGCCAGUGAUAAACUGGAGGAAGGUGGGGAUGACGUCAAGUCAUCAUGGCCCUUACGACCAGGGCUACACACGUGCUACAAUGGCAUAUACAAAGAGAAGCGACCUCGCGAGAGCAAGCGGACCUCAUAAAGUAUGUCGUAGUCCGGAUUGGAGUCUGCAACUCGACUCCAUGAAGUCGGAAUCGCUAGUAAUCGUAGAUCAGAAUGCUACGGUGAAUACGUUCCCGGGCCUUGUACACACCGCCCGUCACACCAUGGGAGUGGGUUGCAAAAGAAGUAGGUAGCUUAACCUUCGGGAGGGCGCUUACCACUUUGUGAUUCAUGACUGGGGUGAAGUCGUAACAAGGUAACCGUAGGGGAACCUGCGGUUGGAUCACCUCCUUA
This 1540-nucleotide ribosomal RNA is filed under the name Klebsiella pneumoniae. Its description in RNAcentral is "bacterial SSU rRNA". It matches the Rfam family "Bacterial small subunit ribosomal RNA". The record is from RNAcentral. Lineage: Bacteria; Pseudomonadati; Pseudomonadota; Gammaproteobacteria; Enterobacterales; Enterobacteriaceae.